Long non-coding RNA from Erinaceus europaeus (western European hedgehog), 480 nucleotides. RefSeq lists it as uncharacterized. Lineage: Eukaryota; Metazoa; Chordata; Mammalia; Eulipotyphla; Erinaceidae. The transcript has 2 exons. The record is from RefSeq and is a predicted model, not a curated record.
GUCUCUGGCUCAGGGUGCCCUGAACCCACACCCACCCCCACUCUGGGCAUGGCAGCUGGUCCUGUGGAAUGCAGGCUGCUGCCAGGGUUGCUGGGUAUUUUGGGAUGUGGCCGGGCUGGGGCAGGCCUGCCUUUUCUGGAGGUGGGGGUGGGGAACACGGGUGGUACUCACCCGGGCUCUGGAGCCCGCCCUCCAGCAGCACCGACAGGUGGGGGCUGGGGGCUUGAACCUGGGUCCUUAUGCACUGUAAUGUGUGUGCUCAACACAACUACCCAGCCCUUAAGAUUGAAUUUGGAGCCUCCAUGGAUGUGGCACAAUGGAGAAAGUGAUGGACUCUCACGCAUGAGGUCCUGAGUUUGAUCCCCAGCAGUGCAAGUGGCAGGAGGGGGAGUGAUGCUCCCUCUCCCUCAUCAACGAGUAACAAACUCACAACAGCAAAACAGCCUCCAGCCCCAAAACUUGUAUGCUCCUCCCUCACCA